Molecule: ribosomal RNA, 1343 nt
Filed under: uncultured bacterium
Lineage: Bacteria
Description: 16S ribosomal RNA
Rfam family: Bacterial small subunit ribosomal RNA
Source: RNAcentral
GACGAACGCUGGCGGCGUGCUUAACACAUGCAAGUCGAACGGAAAGGCCCUGCUUUUGUGGGGUGCUCGAGUGGCGAACGGGUGAGUAACACGUGAGUAACCUGCCCUUGACUUUGGGAUAACUUCAGGAAACUGGGGCUAAUACCGGAUAGGAGCUCCUGCUGCAUGGUGGGGGUUGGAAAGUUUCGGCGGUUGGGGAUGGACUCGCGGCUUAUCAGCUUGUUGGUGGGGUAGUGGCUUACCAAGGCUUUGACGGGUAGCCGGCCUGAGAGGGUGACCGGCCACAUUGGGACUGAGAUACGGCCCAGACUCCUACGGGAGGCAGCAGUGGGGAAUAUUGCACAAUGGGCGGAAGCCUGAUGCAGCAACGCCGCAUGCGGGAUGACGGCCUUCGGGUUGUAAACCGCUUUCGCCUGUGACGAAGCGUGAGUGACGGUAAUGGGUAAAGAAGCACCGGCUAACUACGUGCCAGCAGCCGCGGUGAUACGUAGGGUGCGAGCGUUGUCCGGAUUUAUCGGACGUAAAGGGCUCGUAGGUGGUUGAUCGCGUCGGAAGUGUAAUCUUGGGGCUUAACCCUGAGCGUGCUUUCGAUACGGGUUGACUUGAGGAAGGUAGGGGAGAAUGGAAUUCCUGGUGGAGCGGUGGAAUGCGCAGAUAUCAGGAGGAACACCAGUGGCGAAGGCGGUUCUCUGGGCCUUUCCUGACGCUGAGGAGCGAAAGCGUGGGGAGCGAACAGGCUUAGAUACCCUGGUAGUCCACGCUGUAAACGGUGGGUACUAGGUGUGGGGUCCAUUCCACGGGUUCCGUGCCGUAGCUAACGCUUUAAGUACCCCGCCUGGGGAGUACGGCCGCAAGGCUAAAACUCAAAGGAAUUGACGGGGCCCCGCACAAGCGGCGGAGCAUGCGGAUUAAUUCGAUGCAACGCGUAGAACCUUACCUGGGUUUGACAUGGAUCGGGAGUGCUCAGAGAUGGGUGUGCCUCUUUUGGGGUCGGUUCACAGGUGGUGCAUGGCUGUCGUCAGCUCGUGUCGUGAGAUGUUGGGUUAAGUCCCGCAACGAGCGCAACCCUUGUUCACUGUUGCCAGCACGUUAUGGUGGGGACUCAGUGGAGACCGCCGGGGUCAACUCGGAGGAAGGUGGGGAUGACGUCAAGUCAUCAUGCCCCUUAUGUCCAGGGCUUCACGCAUGCUACAAUGGCUGGUACAGAGAGUGGCGAGCCUGUGAGGGUGAGCGAAUCUCGGAAAGCCGGUCUCGGUUCGGAUUGGGGUCUGCAACUCGACCUCAUGAAGUCGGAGUCGCUAGUAAUCGCAGAUCAGCAACGCUGCGGUGAAUACGUUCCCGGG